UCCCUAGUACGAGAGGACCGGGAAGGACAGACCUCUGGUGUACCGGUUGUUCCGCCAGGAGCAUCGCCGGGUAGCCAUGUCUGGAUGUGAUAAGCGCUGAAGGCAUCUAAGCGCGAAGCCAACUUCAAGAUUAGAUUUCCCAUUGCGGCUUCGGCCGCAAGUAAGGCCCCCUGAAGACUACAGGAUUGAUAGGCCGCAGGUGUAAGGCAAGCAAUUGCUUCAGCUGAGCGGUACUAAUCGGCCGAGGACUUGACCCUCA
RNAcentral lists this ribosomal RNA (259 nucleotides) under Chloroflexota bacterium. RNAcentral describes it as "partial 23S ribosomal RNA". It matches the Rfam family "Bacterial large subunit ribosomal RNA", at positions 2675 to 2925 of the family's 2925-position model. Lineage: Bacteria; Bacillati; Chloroflexota. The record is from RNAcentral.